GGGGGUGAACAGGGCUCGACUUAGGUAUGUCGGGUAAGAGCAGCAUGCCGCGGACGCGAGGUUAGCCGCGUUAACAAUCCUUGCAAAACUAAACGCAAACUACAGUAAUGUAGCACUGAGACCCAUGGCAGCAAUGCCAAUGGUUCCAGGCGUGUUAGCCUUCGGGCUUAAUUAAAGCCUGAAGCCACUUUUCGUCCUGUCUACGGGGCGAAAAAGUGCGGUUAGUAGACUGGCUCUGAUCGUUAGUCUUUGAAGUCAGGGUGAGACUCAAAAAGGCUGCGGCUUAGGCAAUCCUGUUUAGCGGAGUGCCUAAGAUUAAGCUUAAAAGAUAAACUAAGCAUGUAGCGGCUUUUAUUCCUCUGCUUAAGGACGGCGGUUCAAUUCCGCCCACCUCCACUU
This 399-nucleotide transfer-messenger RNA is filed under the name Candidatus Omnitrophota. Its description in RNAcentral is "f Profunditerraquicolaceae X2 Standard tmRNA". It matches the Rfam family "transfer-messenger RNA". From Rfam's summary of the family: Bacterial tmRNA, also known as 10Sa RNA or SsrA, is named for its dual tRNA and mRNA-like properties. Its role is to liberate the mRNA from a stalled ribosome. Lineage: Bacteria; Pseudomonadati. RNAcentral also lists the same sequence under 1 other name. The record is from RNAcentral.